RNAcentral lists this ribosomal RNA (254 nucleotides) under uncultured bacterium. RNAcentral's name for it is "partial 16S ribosomal RNA". It matches the Rfam family "Bacterial small subunit ribosomal RNA", at positions 524 to 776 of the family's 1533-position model. The record is from RNAcentral.
UACGUAGGGGGCGAGCGUUGUCCGGAUUCAUUGGGCGUAAAGAGCUCGUAGGCGGCUUGGCAAGUCGGGUGUGAAAACUUCAGGCUCAACCUGGAGCGGCCACUCGAUACUGCCAUGGCUUGAGUCCGGUAGGGGACCACGGAAUUCCUGGUGUAGCGGUGAGAUGCGCAGAUAUCAGGAGGAACACCGGUGGCGAAGGCGGUGGUCUGGGCCGGAACUGACGCUGAGGAGCGAAAGCGUGGGGAGCGAACAGG